GACGAACGCUGGCGGCGUGCCUAAUACAUGCAAGUCGAGCGGACUGAUUAAGAGCUUGCUCUUAUGACGUUAGCGGCGGACGGGUGAGUAACACGUGGGCAACCUGCCCUGUGGAUCGGGAUAACACCGAGAAAUCGGUGCUAAUACCGGGUAAUAUCUGAGAUCACAUGAUCUUAGGUUAAAAGAUGGCUCCGGCUAUCACUACAGGAUGGGCCCGCGGCGCAUUAGCUAGUUGGUAAGGUAAUGGCUUACCAAGGCGACGAUGCGUAGCCGACCUGAGAGGGUGAUCGGCCACACUGGGACUGAGACACGGCCCAGACUCCUACGGGAGGCAGCAGUAGGGAAUCUUCCGCAAUGGACGAAAGUCUGACGGAGCAACGCCGCGUGAGUGAUGAAGGGUUUCGGCUCGUAAAGCUCUGUUGUUAGGGAAGAAACAGUACCGAACGAACUAGGUCGGUACCUUGACGGUACCUAACCAGAAAGCCACGGCUAACUACGUG
Molecule: ribosomal RNA, 500 nt
Filed under: uncultured bacterium
Lineage: Bacteria
Description: partial 16S ribosomal RNA
Rfam family: Bacterial small subunit ribosomal RNA
Source: RNAcentral